GUGCCAGCCGCCGCGGUAAUACGUAGGGUGCAAGCGUUGCCCGGAUUUAUUGGGCGUAAAGGGCGCGCAGGCGGCUACGCACGUUCGUUGUGAAAUCGCCCGGCUCAACUGGGCGGGGUCAGCGAAUACGGCGUGGCUGGAGCAAGCUAGGGGGCAAUGGAAUUCCCGGUGUAGUGGUGGAAUGCGUAGAUAUCGGGAGGAACACCAGUGGCGAAGGCGGUUGCCUGGAGCUUUGCUGACGCUGAGGCGCGAAAGCGUGGGGAGCGAUCCGGAUUAGAAACCCGGGUAGUCC
RNAcentral lists this ribosomal RNA (292 nucleotides) under uncultured bacterium. RNAcentral describes it as "partial 16S ribosomal RNA". It matches the Rfam family "Bacterial small subunit ribosomal RNA", at positions 505 to 796 of the family's 1533-position model. The record is from RNAcentral.